UACGUAGGGUGCAAGCGUUGUCCGGAAUUAUUGGGCGUAAAGAGCUCGUAGGCGGUCUGUCACGUCGGCUGUGAAAUCCCGAGGCUCAACCUCGGGUCUGCAGUCGAUACGGGCAAACUAGAGUAUUGCAGGGGAGACUGGAAUUCCUGGUGUAGCGGUGAAAUGCGCAGAUAUCAGGAGGAACACCGGUGGCGAAGGCGGGUCUCUGGGCAAUAACUGACGCUGAGGCGCGAAAGCGUGGGGAGCAAACAGG
Molecule: ribosomal RNA, 253 nt
Filed under: uncultured bacterium
Lineage: Bacteria
Description: partial 16S ribosomal RNA
Rfam family: Bacterial small subunit ribosomal RNA
Source: RNAcentral